RNAcentral lists this unclassified non-coding RNA (1011 nucleotides) under Leishmania donovani. Its description in RNAcentral is "gene:unknown". The record is from RNAcentral. Lineage: Eukaryota; Euglenozoa; Kinetoplastea; Trypanosomatida; Trypanosomatidae.
UCGUGGGCGUUCCGUGUGUUGCGUUCCUACCUACCCGUCGGUAUCCGCUCGGCGAUGGGAAAACUGUUCAGCGAUUGAUGUGGACCGCGACUUUUUCGCCACUGUCGUCAUGCGCAGAACGUUGCGCUUCCGCGGAAGUGUUGCAUAAGUGUGUGUGCUUGCAGUGGUCGUGUGUGGCGACGUGACUGUGUGGGACUGCAUCUGCAUGAUUUCAUCUUGUUAGCGUCAAGAAACAUCGCUGAUUGUUCUUUGGAUUUAAACGCAAGCCGUAAGCAGUAUGAUCGCAGAACGCACGAAAAGUGUGCACCCAUCCAAGCUAAUUUGCCUGCUGAGUUGUGUCUCGUGUUGGGAGAGAAGGAAAGCCGGAGAGGUGCGCGUGUGGCAGCCAGGAAGAAAACGGCGAAACGACUGUCUCGGUGGAAGUGCUAAAGAGGCGAUGAGCUGCGUAUGUUGCCGGACGUGCGAAGCGCGGGCUGUCAGAGGAUGUCGUCAUUUCAGUUUCCACCGAAAAAGAAAGCAAAGCAAACGCCACCGAUUGCACGUUGCAUGCAAAUGUGAGUCGAAAGAGGUACAGAUAGGGGAUGAGGAGGGGGCGCACCAUCAAAUGUGUGCGUUGCCGUUGGAAAGGGGGCGUCUUGAUGAGAGUGCAGGUGAAUGCGUUUGAUCGUGAGCGCCGGUACUGAAGGAUGAUCCACGUUGAACACAAAUUCGACACUGAGUCGGAGCAAUAUCCAUGACGCACCGUGUCCUGACCGUGGAAGCGGCCCUCUGUGUUGCCUCUGCCCCCUCCCUCUCUCGCGGAUGGGGCGGACGCGCGCAGGGGGCUCACUGACAGUAGGCUGAGUGGAUGGUGGAGGCAAAUUCUGCUCGACGCGAGAAUGCAUGUGAGGUGCUGACUCAUCUGCUUUAUUUUUGCGCGUGUCUGGGCGCAUGAGUAGUAGUCGAGUAGACGAUGGCCGCCUUAUCUCUCUCUCUCUCUUUGGCGCUGCUUCUCGGUUUGGCCUCUGGGAG